UAUAUAUGUGUGUGUGUGUGUGUGUGUGUACACACACACACACACACACACAUAUAUACU
This 60-nucleotide microRNA precursor is filed under the name Marmota monax (woodchuck). The record is from RNAcentral. Lineage: Eukaryota; Metazoa; Chordata; Mammalia; Rodentia; Sciuridae.